GACGAACGCUGGCGGCGUGCUUAACACAUGCAAGUCGAACGGAAAGGCCCUGCUUUUGUGGGGUGCUCGAGUGGCGAACGGGUGAGUAACACGUGAGUAACCUGCCCUUGACUUUGGGAUAACUUCAGGAAACUGGGGCUAAUACCGGAUAGGAGCUCCUGCUGCAUGGUGGGGGUUGGAAAGUUUCGGCGGUUGGGGAUGGACUCGCGGCUUAUCAGCUUGUUGGUGGGGUAGUGGCUUACCAAGGCUUUGACGGGUAGCCGGCCUGAGAGGGUGACCGGCCACAUUGGGACUGAGAUACGGCCCAGACUCCUACGGGAGGCAGCAGUGGGGAAUAUUGCACAAUGGGCGGAAGCCUGAUGCAGCAACGCCGCGUGCGGGAUGACGGCCUUCGGGUUGGAAACCGCUUUCGCCUGUGACGAAGCGUGAGUGACGGUAAUGGGGAAAGAAACACCGGCUAACUACGU
This 467-nucleotide ribosomal RNA is filed under the name uncultured bacterium. Its description in RNAcentral is "partial 16S ribosomal RNA". It matches the Rfam family "Bacterial small subunit ribosomal RNA", at positions 28 to 506 of the family's 1533-position model. The record is from RNAcentral.